AACGAACGCUGGCGGCAGGCCUAACACAUGCAAGUCGAACGAAGCCUUCGAGCUUAGUGGCGGACGGGUUAGUAACGCGUGGGAACGUACCCUUUGCUACGGAACAACAGUUGGAAACGACUGCUAAUACCGUAUGAGCCCUACGGGGGAAAGAUUUAUCGGCAUUGGAUUAGCCCGCGUUGGAUUAGGUAGUUGGUGGGGUAAUGGCCCACCAAGCCGACGAUCCAUAGCUGGUUUGAGAGGAUGAUCAGCAACACUGGGACUGAGACACGGCCCAG
RNAcentral lists this ribosomal RNA (278 nucleotides) under uncultured bacterium. Its description in RNAcentral is "partial 16S ribosomal RNA". It matches the Rfam family "Bacterial small subunit ribosomal RNA", at positions 29 to 334 of the family's 1533-position model. The record is from RNAcentral.